Long non-coding RNA from Bos taurus (domestic cattle), 1571 nucleotides. The record is from Ensembl. NCBI's taxonomy places the organism in Eukaryota, Metazoa, Chordata, Mammalia, Artiodactyla, Bovidae.
GGGAUGGCAGAGGUGAGCCAACCAGAGCUGCCGCUGUCCCACCAGCCAGAGGACUGUGCCACUCCCCUGUUUGACUUGGGGGCUUUAAGCUAAUUCCUGUCUUGAGGGGAGAGUAGUUCAAACUCACCAGCUUGACUCCUGGGCCUCCUCAGUAGACAGGACCUGGCCGCUCCCAGCUGAGGGUCUCUGCCGGCCGCCAGCAGUUCUGAGGGGAGAUUCGGAGCAUAAUCACAGUGACGGUGUGGGCAGCUGAAGAGCCUGACAGCGGUUCCCUGUCACCCCAAUACCUCCCUUGCACACCUGAAGUUUCUGGGAAGCUUCUGUUGGAAGCUAAGAGCUCAGUGUGCCCAGCUCAGGGUUUCCUCGUGCCCAGCCAGUGAGUCUGGCCACCGGGAAAACCCCCAAAGCCUCUUGCCCACAGUCCCCACUUGGAGCAUUUCUGACCCCAGAGCUGUACCAGGCCCUGCUCUGGUAGAAGCCCCUGGCCUGCCCAGUCCGUCACGGGCAUCACUGUGACUCUGCUUCCUUCCAGAUGGCUUCCCACCCUCAUGCUGCUCUCAUUCCUGGGCCAGGAGCCAGCUUCCUUCCAUACCUGCCCCACCUUCUCCCCACCCUCUUAUAUCACUAAGGCUUCUGAAACCUUCAGCCUCAGACUCAACACCUGAAACCUUCUGUUACCUCCUGACCACCCUCUUAUAUCACUAAGGCUUCUGAAACCUUCAGCCUCAGACUCAACACCGGAAACCUUCCGUUACCUUCUGACCACCCUCUUAUAUCACUAAGGCUUCUGAAAACUUCAGCCUCAGUCUCAACACCUGAAAGCUUCCGUUACCUCCUGAUGAUUCCCUUUGACGUCUCUCAUUGUUCAAGUCCUUUUGAUGGAGAGGGAUUUUCUCAUCUACCUCUUCUCUCAGGCUUCGGAAGAGGGACAGUGAGCUCCUGGCUCUGGGAUGCCACUUUGCGUCACCACUCUGUUCAGCAAUCACUCUUCUGUAGCUCCAUCUACCCUGGCUCCCACCCUCAACAUCACCACCAGCAUCGGAAGCAUCACCAGCUCUCAGGACACUAGUGUACUUGGCCUUAAGCUCCAUCUUCCUCUCCAUCCACAGCCCCUCAGCAUCCACUGGGGCUUCAUUCUUUCCAAUUUCCACUUACAGGUGUCCUCCCACCCCAACCCUGGCCUCUUCCUAAACAUGUGAGAUCUGUGUUGAAGCAUGGUUUUGGAAUUUUGAAAAUAUGAUUCUCAUACACAGUAUGCAUGCUAAGUUGCUUCAGUCAUGUCUGACUCUUUAUGACCCCAUGGACUGUAGCCUGCCAGGCUCCGCUGUCCAUGGGAUUCUCCAGGCAACAACACUGGAGUGGGUUGCUAUGCCCUCCUCCAGGGGAUCUUCCCGACCUGGGAUCGAACUCAGGUCUCCUGCAUCUCCUGCACUGGCAGAUAGAUCUCCUCACCUGGAGAGGUCCCCGGAGAGGCCAGGGUCUCCAAAAAGCCCAGCAGACCUGCACCCAGGACCCUUCAGGACCAUCCUGAUGAUGCCUCUGAUGCUCUGUGGCUUCCUGGGGCCUUGGGC